AGCGAACGCUGGCGGCAGGCCUAAUACAUGCAAGUCGAACGAAGCCUUCGGGCUUAGUGGCGGACGGGUGAGUAACACGUGGGAACGUACCCUUUGGUUCGGAACAACUCAGGGAAACUUGAGCUAAUACCGAAUGUGCCCCCAUCCUUAACAAGAUGGGUGGGAAAGAUUUAUCGCCAUUGGAGCGGCCCGCGUCUGAUUAGCUAGUUGGUGAGGUAAGGCCCACCAAGGCUACGAUCAGNGCUGGUCUGAGAGGAUGAUCAGCCACACUGGGACUGAGACACGGCCCAGACUCCUACGGGAGGCAGCAGUAGGGAAUCUUGCGCAAUGGGGACGAAAGCCUGACGC
RNAcentral lists this ribosomal RNA (348 nucleotides) under uncultured bacterium. RNAcentral's name for it is "bacterial SSU rRNA". It matches the Rfam family "Bacterial small subunit ribosomal RNA", at positions 29 to 389 of the family's 1533-position model. The record is from RNAcentral.